ACUUUUUUACAACAUAUCAAGACGCAACCUUGUUAAUAACAAGAAGCAAAGAAGCAAAUGCAAACUACCAACAAUUCCUGGAUGAACUAUUUGCAGAGAUCCAUCAAUUAGA
RNAcentral lists this small RNA (112 nucleotides) under Filamoeba nolandi. RNAcentral describes it as "partial transfer-messenger RNA". Lineage: Eukaryota; Evosea; Variosea. The record is from RNAcentral.